CUUCCUACAGCCUCGCGACUAAUGAGAAGAUUGAUAUUCCAGUCAUCAACGUUCUCAUUAGCCGCGCGAAUCGGAUGUAGCGAAGAGGCAUACUAAAACAGUUAAUUACGACUUAUAGCUUAACAUUUAAGUUAAGUACAAUUCGAGUAUUACUUCAACUUUCAAAAUAACUUUUAGCAGAAAAGGGGCCUCUGGCCCCUUUCC
Providencia rettgeri is the source of this 204-nucleotide non-coding RNA. The record is from Rfam. NCBI's taxonomy places the organism in Bacteria, Pseudomonadati, Pseudomonadota, Gammaproteobacteria, Enterobacterales, Morganellaceae.